GACAGAGGGUGCAAACGUUGUUCGGAAUUACUGGGCGUAAAGCGCGUGUAGGCGGCUUGGCAAGUCGGAUGUGAAAGCCCUGGGCUCAACCUAGGAAGUGCAUUCGAAACUCCCGAGCUUGAGUUCUGGAGAGGAAGGCGGAAUUCUCGGUGUAGAGGUGAAAUUCGUAGAUAUCGAGAGGAACACCGGUGGCGAAGGCGGCCUUCUGGACAGUGACUGACGCUGAGACGCGAAAGCGUGGGGAGCAAACAGG
RNAcentral lists this ribosomal RNA (253 nucleotides) under uncultured bacterium. RNAcentral describes it as "partial 16S ribosomal RNA". It matches the Rfam family "Bacterial small subunit ribosomal RNA", at positions 524 to 776 of the family's 1533-position model. The record is from RNAcentral.